Molecule: long non-coding RNA, 4783 nt
Filed under: Nicotiana tabacum (common tobacco)
Lineage: Eukaryota; Viridiplantae; Streptophyta; Magnoliopsida; Solanales; Solanaceae
Description: long non-coding RNA (NTAB_LNC008974)
Source: RNAcentral
GGAUGGGCAGCGUACCGGGAAUACAGAAGCUUCACCGGCUUUGCAACUUGUCCGAACCUCAGUCUAAAAUUGGGAUAUGACUAUAACAGAAAAGAAGUCACACGAAGUGCACACUUCCCAAAUGAUUUAGAAGACUCAGAGAGAAAAAGGGUUUCGUAAUAGUUUAUAUACAGUCCAAACAAUAUCAAAGCGGUAAAAAGCGGCAUUUAUCACAUUAGGCUCAAACAUGUAAAAAUCAAAUGUGUAUUUAGAAAUCCUGCUCUUAGGAAAUUCUGCAAUCAUGUUGUGCAUUUAGAAAUCCUGCUUUAGGAAUCCUGCAUAUAAAUCAUUAGACACCAUGAUUAGGUUCUCGUUCAUCCUCAUUCAGCUACGCUUAGUUAACUACUAAAGGAGUAUCAACAGUCUCAUCCUGCUUUAAACAAACUGGUAAUAUUCCCUACAUGUCUUUGCAUUAUUUAGAACAACAUGUUUUAAAAGAAAAACAAUCUCCACACUGUUUUAAUAACUCUGAAUAACUACUGCAUAUUACUUUAUGCUUAGGCAAGCCUUAGGUAAUAACCUAAACCAGAACUGCCAUUGUUUAACCCGCAACAUGUUAAAAUUAGUAGGCAAGCCUAAUUCAGACUUCUUUUCUAAAUCAUGUAAUAAAUAUGGUUCUGCUGUUAUCACUUAGAUACCAUGCAUAGGAUCUGAAUUCAGAUCUUAUCUGUGUAUGAGUCGUGCUGUCUACACACACAAACUCUCUCUUCUUUCUCUACUACUUGUGCUAGCUGCUAGUCUAGCCGGUUGAAAGCCAAGGCUAGAUUGUAGAACUUUACUUGCNNNNNNNNNNNNNNNNNNNNNNNNNNNNNNNNNNNNNNNNNNNNNNNNNNNNNNNNNNNNNNNNNNNNNNNNNNNNNNNNNNNNNNNNNNNNNNNNNNNNNNNNNNNNNNNNNNNNNNNNNNNNNNNCUUUGUUAACACUUCGAAGUAGUAGUUUGUGGUCUGGAGGCCAAUCAGUUCCUACUUGUUCUUUGUACUUGAUGGUCUAUGUGUUUCUCCUCUUAUCCAUGUUUACAUGUUUCAUAAUUGCCCCCAACACCUUACUUCCCUGUUUGUGACUUUUAAACUGUACUAUUCUUUGAACUUGUUCUGUGUGUACUGGCUUGUUCCAAGUUGUUGUUGCUCCUAUCCCCUUCUCCUUUCAAAACUGUUUUUCCCUAAGCAACUCUUCUGUUGUUUUUGCAAACUUAUUGCAAACAUGCUAUUUCAAACUAUUUUCAACUCAAUUCUUUUAAAUCUAUGUCAAGCAAUCUCACACAUACUCUUAGACUAUUAGGUUUUGCCCCUUUUGUGUGAUUCUUACCUUGGGACCCUUGAUCUCUCUCUGAACUUGGACACAUAAAAGUUAGCCUUUCCACACUGCACUUACUCUGUCCUGGCUAUGAAAUCUGGGUGUGAGCACUGCCCGGGAUCCCUUGAGGUCCUUAGGGAACUCUGACACACCCAGGUAUGAGAAAUACUAUGGAACAAUCUUGACACUUGAGGUGAUUUAUUACAUAACUCAGGGAGGAAGUCCUAAUCAGGUGCUGAAAGUUUGGGCCUAUUUCAGGCUCUUUAUAGUGUAACUUUUAUCUUCCUUUCCUGCUUAUGUAAUUCAUUUCAGUAUUGGUCUGUAAUAAUUUGUAAACAAGUAUUGGGGUUGGAUAGUGAAAAGGAAUGGGUAAUAUGCAUGUUGUAGUAUAAUCCAGGGUAGAAAUCAUGUUCCUAGGUUUACUUUUCUCUAUGCGCAAUAGCAGCCAUGUUUAGGUACAACAUGCCAUGCAUUAGCUAUCAUGCUAUUUAGAAUUUAUAUGUAUUGUUUUCAGCAUCUCAUCCACACAUAGAAAUCCUUUCUAUAGGGUAGAUAAUAACAAUUAAAUAAGCUACUAUUAUAUGAUUCCGCCUACGUAAACAUGUUCUGAAAUUUCAUUUAGAAAUCCUGCUCUUAGGAAAUUCUGCAAUCAUGUUGUGCAUUUAGAAAGCCUGCUCUUAGGGAAUUCUGCAAUCAUGUUGUGCAUUUAGAAUUCCCUCUUUAGGAAUCCUGCAUAUAAAUCAUUAGAUACCAUGUUUAGGUUCUCGUUCAUCCUCAUUCAGCUACGCUUAGUUAACUAUUAAAGGAGUAUCAACAGUCUCAUCCUACUUUAAACAAACUGGUAAUAAUCCCUGCAUGUCUUUGCAAUAUUUAGAACAAUAUGUUUUAGAAGAAAAACAAUCUCUACAUUGUUUUAAUAACUAUGAAUAACUGCUGCAUACUACUUUACGCCUAGGCAAGCCCUAGGUAAUAACUUAAAGCCAAAACUGCCUUUGUUUAACCCACAACAUGUUAAAAUUAGUAGGCAAGCCUGAUUCAGACUUCUUUUGUGAGUCAUGUUAUAAAUCUGGUUCUGUUGUUAUCACUUAGAUACCAUGCUUAGGAUCUGAAUUCCGACCUUAUCUGUGUGUGAGUUGUGCUGUCUAUGUGCGUUACUUGUGGAAGUAUAUCUGAGCCUUCUAUAUGUUUUUGUGUUUUCCCCCUAAAUGUAGUCUUAUAUGUUCUUGUUAGUCUCUUAAUAUUUUGCCUUUAAACCUGAGGGUCUUCCUAGAACCCCCCUCCCCCCUUAUAGGAUAGGAGUCGUAAAUUCCUCCGGUACUGAUAGGAAAGGACGGGUAACAGCAUGCAAUAGGGAUCGAGACCAACCCUCGCUUUAAUUACCUUCACGGGGAGGGAAAGAGUAGAUAUGGAUAUGAUGACCGGUGCGUUUGUCACACCUCCUUUCUACACCUCGAAAGGGAUAUAAGUGUUUUUUUCAAUUAAAGUGACAUUAUUCUAAAUGGGAUUAUUUUAAUUAAUUUUCAGAGUCGCCACUUGGAAUAAUUAUUUUGGUGUCCCAAGUCACCGUUUUUUUUAAAUCCCAAACCGAGGAAAACGACUUUAUUUAAAAGUCUGUGAAACCAAAAAAUUUAAAUAAGGAAUUCUGUUAACCCGAGAGAAUGUAUUAGGCAUUCCCGGGUUUCGUGGUUCGAGCACGGUCACUUAAACUAUUAAAAUUGGCCUAAUUAUCUGAUUUACUACAUGUUUUAAACAUAUUAUGCAUUUUAGCUUUAUAACCACUUUAAUUAAUUUAACCGCUUUUAGGAUUUAUAGAAUCAUUUCUUGAACAAGUUAUGAUUGUCGUACACUUGCCGUUUUGGGACACACCGCAAACCACGCUACAUGAAAUGCACCCACAGUUCGUGACAUAUUUAUUUUAUUAUUGUUCGAAGUUUUUAUGAUUAGGUUACAUGAAAUGCAUCCCCGAAUUCUGGAAAUUAGGCAUCGUAACUAUGUCACAGGAACCGUACCCAUAAUCACGAUGGUUUAUUAAUCGUGCCUAAAGCGAAGCUACGGAUGUUCAAAAUUAUUUAUUUCCUACAUUUGGAAUUACUGCAAAGUUCAAUAAUUAUGGAAAAAGUAACAUGGUGGAAAGUAUACUUCAUCACUUAACUUAACAGAGGUUCAACAUAAUCGAAGUUUUCUUCGUAACCAAAUUGGAGAACAGUUCUAGUUUCACGUAUCGGAACCAAAUGCAUAAAUAAAAUUAUUUAUAAAAGCGAAUACUUACAUAAUUGGCCAACAACAACAGUGUCUCGUGACGACAAAUCUAAAGGUGUAGGACAUGAUUUAUAAGAGUAUAGAUAUUUUGUAUUCAAAAUACACUUGCAAAAAUGAAUAAAUGCUAAUCGGAAGCACUAAAAGAAAUACUUAAUGUUGCACCACCAUGAAUAUCUCAAAUUUGUAAACAUAGAAAACUUUAGAAGAUAAGCAAAAGAUCUGCAAAUACCUAAAAAUUGUGACCAAACUUUCUGCUCUAAUUAGCAUUAGCAGACACGCACAUAUGCAUUAAGAGUCAGAACCUAUAUACUUAUCACCAAAAAAAGACUGAAGCUAUACGAGCUCGCAGAUUACUCCAAUUUACACAAUGCAGUCAAAUAAUAUUUAAACAGAGAUCUAACAGAUACCCAAAAUAAAGUAGUGAUUAACAUAAUCAUGAAUCGGAGCUCGAAAUUUAUUGGAUGUCUAAGGAUGACAAGAUCGAAGCUUAAAGUAGGAUUUACAAAUUCCAACGCAGCAAAUCCAAAUAGGACAAGAGUAAAGAGCUAAAACACUUGCGAUUUUAUAUUGAGCAAAGCUGAAAAUACAAAUAUGUGAAGUGACAUACCUAAUUUCUCUAUAAUUAAGUCUGAGGAAAAGAAAGCCAAAUAGAAGCUCAAUCGAUGACUCGGAAAUUAGCAGCAGCUCAGCAAAACAAUAGCAACAGAUUCAGCGACCAAAAAUACUACUUCAACUCGAAUGUCACUCAAAAUUCCAGAAAAUUGUAGUAAAGAGCAGAAGUUCGAAUAGCUUUUUUUAGAUCUUGAUUUCCAUGGUGUCUGAUUUCUCUUUUGUAGAUAAGAGAACAAGAGCUUUUUGUACUAUAAAGCUCUUAGCCAAAGAAACGAGAAUGAGAGUCCUGUUUUUGUUUCUUGUUGGUGGUUGGUUGAGGUUGGUAAAAUGGGGUUGUCCAUCUAUUUUUUAAAGGGGUCUGUUCUAGUUGCUUCUACUUGAAAAAAUCAGUUGCGCCGUUUCUUGUGUCGUGGUCUGAUCUGAUCAUUAUUCUUCCCUAGGUUUCCUAAUUUGUGUUUUUAUAUGUAGGAGGUAUGGUUUUAGUAAAGGGUAAUGGGUGUUUGGUUAGUGGGAUGGGAUUGUAAGAACUUGGGUAAUUUGGGAGUUUUGGGCUUCAAAUUAAGCUGGCCUAGACGAAAUCG